GUGACUCAUUCCAUAUUAAUGUUUAAUAAACACGUGUAAUAAAAAUACUAAAUAUGUGCAGUGUUAAGGAAGGAAGUAUUUGUUGGUUGAUUUGAUGUGUAUAAAAGGGAAUGUGAAAGUGUGUAGAAUAUGCAGAGAUUGAAGAAAAGAUAGAUAUGGGAAGUGUAUAAGAAAUUGAUGAUUUUGGCUUUUGUGAUUACUAUUUCUUUCUCCGUCAUCAUGGAGGGAGCACUCGCAGCACGACACCUCAUGCAAUUUGAUCUUUUCGAUCCGUUGCGUCCUCUGUGCUACGUUCAAGAUGAACCCUUGUUCUCACGACACCUCAUUCCUUGUUCUCCUCCUCCACCAGGAGGAGGUACAACAACCACUGCUCCCUAAGUUAAAGGAAACUUGUGCCCUAAUCUCCAUUUCAUCUCUCUCUUCAUCAUCAUCUCCUUCCUUUCAUAUCAUAUGUUUAAUAAAUGAUUAGGGCAAUCUUAUAAAUAAUAUAUAUUUUAUGUAUAUCUUAUUUGCUUUCUCUUUCUCUUCACCUUCUGCUUUUUUUCUUUUCUCUAAUUCUAGUCGUUUCUUUAUUUUCUGCAUUUUCUUCAUCUGUUUAACAUUCUUCAACUUAAUUAUCACGUGAGUGCUUUUUGUUUCAUCCAUCUAUUCCACUGUAGCAAAAUAAGAUCCUCCAAUAUAUAUUAAAAUUGUAUGCUAUAUAUAUAAAAACGGAUUUCUUACAUUUAUAACGUUAAACUAACAAAAG
RNAcentral lists this long non-coding RNA (748 nucleotides) under Vigna radiata. RNAcentral describes it as "long non-coding RNA (VRAD_LNC007193)". The record is from RNAcentral. Lineage: Eukaryota; Viridiplantae; Streptophyta; Magnoliopsida; Fabales; Fabaceae.